UACGGAGGGUGCAAGCAUUGAUCGGAAUUACUGGGCGUAAAGGGCGCGUAGGCGGUAGAAUAAGUCGGAUGUGAAAUUCCGGGGCUCAACCCCGGAGCUGCAUUUGAAACUUUCGGACUUGAGGUUAGUAAGGGAAAACGGAAUUCCACGUGUAGCGGUGAAAUGCGUAGAUAUGUGGAAGAACACCGGUGGUGAAGACGGUUUUCUGUGCUAAACCUGACGCUGAGGCGCGAAAGCUAGGGGAGCAAACAGG
This 253-nucleotide ribosomal RNA is filed under the name uncultured bacterium. RNAcentral's name for it is "partial 16S ribosomal RNA". It matches the Rfam family "Bacterial small subunit ribosomal RNA", at positions 524 to 776 of the family's 1533-position model. The record is from RNAcentral.